Molecule: ribosomal RNA, 539 nt
Filed under: Rossellomorea marisflavi
Lineage: Bacteria; Bacillati; Bacillota; Bacilli; Caryophanales; Bacillaceae
Description: bacterial SSU rRNA
Rfam family: Bacterial small subunit ribosomal RNA
Source: RNAcentral
AUUCGAAGCAACGCGAAGAACCUUACCAGGUCUUGACAUCCUCUGACAACCCUAGAGAUAGGGCUUUCCCCUUCGGGGGACAGAGUGACAGGUGGUGCAUGGUUGUCGUCAGCUCGUGUCGUGAGAUGUUGGGUUAAGUCCCGCAACGAGCGCAACCCUUGAUCUUAGUUGCCAGCAUUCAGUUGGGCACUCUAAGAUGACUGCCGGUGACAAACCGGAGGAAGGUGGGGAUGACGUCAAAUCAUCAUGCCCCUUAUGACCUGGGCUACACACGUGCUACAAUGGACGGUACAAAGGGCUGCAAGACCGCGAGGUUUAGCCAAUCCCAUAAAACCGUUCUCAGUUCGGAUUGUAGGCUGCAACUCGCCUACAUGAAGCUGGAAUCGCUAGUAAUCGCGGAUCAGCAUGCCGCGGUGAAUACGUUCCCGGGCCUUGUACACACCGCCCGUCACACCACGAGAGUUUGUAACACCCGAAGUCGGUGAGGUAACCUUUUGGAGCCAGCCGCCUAAGGUGGGACAGAUGAUUGGGGUGAAGUC